UGGGCAGACCUGACAGUGCAGCGUGGAGAU
This 30-nucleotide non-coding RNA is filed under the name Rattus norvegicus (Norway rat). The record is from RNAcentral. Lineage: Eukaryota; Metazoa; Chordata; Mammalia; Rodentia; Muridae.